AAGGUAGGAAUCGUAAGAGUGUACAGAAAUAAGUCACAUGCAGACCAUAUUGAAAUACGCAGAGAAUUCCAUGGAGACUCUGAUGGCUAGGGCACCGUUGAGCUGUUGCAACUGUUCUGCUGCUGAGGAAACCAAAUCUGAAAGAGAUUAAGAAACAUGAGCAGUAUCAAAUGACUAGACAAUGUCUCAGCUGAAUUCAAUCAUCUUUUUAAACUCCAUCUACCUGCUCUAUCUGACAUUAAUAAACAUUCCAAGAAGAAUGUCUGCAAAGAGGAGAGACUGAGAAUUACUAGCCACUCAAUUAGGUCACUUAACAUCUUAUAUUAGCUGCUCAUUUCAUUUGGGAGCAAGGAGAACUGGGUUCUCAUUCUUCAGCCAAUGAGCUGGAGAAACCUGGACAAAUAAUUUAAUUGCUUGAGGCUUAAUUGUCCAAUCACUGAAAUGUAAGAAAAUAAGAAAUAAUCUUUAAAUUUACUUUCAAUUAAAUAAAACACUGAUUGUUAAUACAUAUUUGAAAAUAUACUAGAAACUGAACGUGCAAAUUAGGAUAAUGAAUUGCACUCUAAAUUUAAAAUGCAAGAAAUGAUGUAUUUUAUUUCUUAUUUAUACAUAUAUAUUAUUUCAAGAAUUAUAAAUCUCAACAUG
Molecule: long non-coding RNA, 645 nt
Filed under: Homo sapiens (human)
Lineage: Eukaryota; Metazoa; Chordata; Mammalia; Primates; Hominidae
Description: HSALNT0393940
Source: RNAcentral